CCUACGGGAGGCUGCAGUGGGGAAUAUUGGGCAAUGGGCGUAAGCCUGACCCAGCAACGCCGCGUGAGGGAUGAAGGCUCUCUGGUUGUAAACUCCUUUUUAGAGGGAAGAGCAGAAGACGGUACCUCUUGAAUAAGCCAUGGCUAACUACGUGCCAGCAGCCGCGGUCAUACGUAGGUGGCAAGCGUUGUCCGGAUUUACUGGGUGUAAAGGGCGUGUAGCCGGGCUGACAAGUGAGAUGUGAAAUCCCGUGGCUCAACCACGGAACUGCAUUUGAAACUGGCGGUCUUGAGUAUCGGUGAGGCAGGCGGAAUUCGUAGUGUAGCGGUGAAAUGCGUAGAUAUUAGGAGGAACACCAGUGGCGAAGGCAGCCUGC
RNAcentral lists this ribosomal RNA (376 nucleotides) under uncultured bacterium. Its description in RNAcentral is "partial 16S ribosomal RNA". It matches the Rfam family "Bacterial small subunit ribosomal RNA", at positions 338 to 729 of the family's 1533-position model. The record is from RNAcentral.